AGCGAACGCUGGCGGCAGGCCUAACACAUGCAAGUCGAACGAACUCUUCGGAGUUACUGGCGGUCAGGUGAGUAACACGUCGGACCGUUGCUGUAGACUCGGGAUACCACAUGGUAACUUGUGCUAAUACCGAAUGUCCCCUUCUGGGGAAAGAUUUAUCGCCUUUAGAGCGGCCCGCGUUUUUUUAGCUUGUUGGUGUGGUAAAGGCCCAUCAAGGCGUCGCUCAGUAGCUGGGCAGAGAGGAUGAUCAGCCACAUUGGGACUAGGACACGGUCCAAACUCCUACAGGAGGCAGGAAAGGGGAAUCUUGCGCAACGGGCGAAAGCCUGAAGCAGCCAUGCCGCGUGAAUGAUGAAGGUCUGAGGAUUGUAAAAUUCUUUCACCGCGGACGAUAAUGACGGUACCCGGAGAAGAAGCCCCGGCUAACUUCGUG
Molecule: ribosomal RNA, 433 nt
Filed under: uncultured bacterium
Lineage: Bacteria
Description: partial 16S ribosomal RNA
Rfam family: Bacterial small subunit ribosomal RNA
Source: RNAcentral